UUACAGAAUGGCCAUAUGACGAAGAUCUAACUUUAUUCGCCAUCGCCGAGGUUCUUGAUAUGUUUGGAACAAAUUCAAUAUUUUAAUCACGAACUGUCGAAAAGUAUUGCUGAAAUCGUGUUAGAUUUAAUGACCAUAUCACCAUAUCAUAGAAGCGUACUGUUCCAACGUGUGUUAGCACCACGAAAUACGGAAAAGAAAACCAAACCAUUGCGUGAUCGCAAUUCAGAAAUAUAAUUACAACAUACAAAAUGUUUUGCGGUCCAUGUCAGGCACAAGGAAAGAAAGAAGCAGCUGUCGUAUCUUGCAACGAGUGUAAAAAUGAGUUGCUGUGCGUAGAAUGUAAAACGCGUCACAGUCUCCAGCUUAUAACUAGAAAGCAUACCCUCCAAGCACUAGAAAAAGAAGAGGACGUGCCAACAAAUGCUUCUGAUGAAGACCGUGAGCUAUUCUGCGACCAAUGCAAAGCAAUGAACAAGACAAGUAUAGCAUCAGUAUUCUGCUCCGAUUGUGAAAACCAACUUCUCUGCACUAUGUGUGAAGCCUAUCACAGGUCUCUUAAAAUCACAGAAGAGCAUAAGCUACAAAACGUAUCGUGCAACAGUAAUAUGGCAGAAGGAAGUUUUUCCAAAGCUGUAGCCGUCAGGCCGGAAAUCAUACAAAAUACUGAGUACAAACCAGGUCGACCUAGUGCAAUAUCGGUUAGCUUUGAGUCCAUCAAAUUACAAUGGUCCACGCCGAAAGCAUUUAGUGAUGGCGAUUACUUCCAAUUAUGUUACAAGGAGAACAAAAGUCCACAUUGGAAGACCUGGGAAGAAAUGAAUACAGAGUCAAUUAAAAAUAUUACACAUUUAAAAUCAGAAACACAGUAUAUUUUUCGGGUACGAGUCAUUCAUAACGAUUUAGAAGGUCCUUUCAGCGAUGUUAGUGAGAGUGUUAAAACAGUACAAUCAGCAGCAUCAAUACUCGUCAAAUGCUCUUCCUGUCCCGGUGAAACUAAUACAACGCCAAAACUUUUUGCACUGGCGAUGAAAGAAAAAGAACGAGAUCCAAUAACCAAAAUAAGGUCAUUUCAACUUGGUGAACCGGGAUCAUGUGUUGAAAAGACAAUUAUGCUGGUUGGAGAGACGGGUACCGGUAAGAGUACCCUGGUAGAUGGAAUGGCCAAUUACAUUCUAGGGGUUGGAUGGGAUGAUCCGUUUCGAUUUAAAAUGGUUAGCCUCGAAAGUGAAGAAAAGGGCAAAUCUACAAAUCAGGCCGUGUCCCAAACAGAAUGGAUAACGUGCUACACAAUCCAUCCAAUGAAUGGUGGAAGACUCAAAUAUUCAAUGACUAUUAUUGAUACACCUGGAUUUGGUGAUACUAGAGGCAUUGAACAUGACCAGAAAAUAGUUAAACAGAUUCAUAAAUUGUUUUCAUCAACCCCUCCACAGGGUGUUUUGAAUAUUGAAGCAAUUUGUUUUCUUGUCAAGGCACCUGAUGGCCGACUUACUACAUCGCAAAAGUAUAUUUUUAAUUCAAUAAUGUCAAUAUUUGGAAAGGAUAUUAAAGAAAACAUUUGCUCAUUGAUAACCUUUGCCGACGGCAACGAGCCUUGUGUAUUGGCAGCUUUAGUUGAGUCUGGGAUGCCAUUUGGGCAGCAUUUCAUGUUCAACAACUCAGCACUUUUUGCAAAAAAUACGAAUACAGAUUAUUCCGGUGUGUCAAGUAAAUUCUGGGAAAUGGGAAUCCAGAGCUUUCAAAAAUUCUUCAGAUAUUUAGAAUCAAUUCCAACAAAAAGUUUGCAGCUGACAACAAAUGUUUUAUUUGAGAGAAAUCGUUUGGAAAUUAAUAUCAGUAAUUUGGAAGCAAUGAUUACUGGAGCGGUAAUCAAAGUUCAGGAACUUAAAAGUGAAAUUGAUUGCCUGGAUAGAUAUCGAGACAUAAUUGAACAAAACAAACAAUAUACAUUCACGACUAAACAAUUGUGUAUGAAGAAAGAAAAAUUACUUAGCGGAGAAAAUGUGACAAACUGUACAAAGUGUCAUACUACAUGCCAUCCUAAAUGCAAAAGAGCUCAAUCUAGCAACAAAAAAGGUUGCUGGGCUAUGGAUAAAAGUGGGAAAUGUAGGAUUUGUCUAGACAAAUGUGACUGGAAGGUACACGUGAACGAAACAUAUAGAUAUAUAUACACUGAAGAGGAGGUGGAAACAACUUAUGAUAAAAUAAAACAGAAAUUUGAAAAUGCGACAGGCAAAGCCCUGAACCAAGAAGAUUUGAUUUCAAACAAACGCAAAGAAAUAUUAGAUUUGCAUGUACAAAUGGAAGAAAUGAUGAAUAUUGUAAGAAACUGUAACGAUCAUCUGGCUGAAAUAGCACUGCGACCUAAUCCACUUUCAGAGGAAGAGUACAUAGACAAGUUGAUUGAAAACGAACGAUUUGAAAAAAGGACAGGUUUCUUGCAAAGAAUAGAAACACUUAACCAGUUCAAAAAAAGAGCUAAGGUACCUGAGAUGUAUCAAACACUUCGUCACGAAACAGCCCCUGUUCUUUCCGAAAUAAAUAACACAAAGGAAAAGAAACACGUAACCAAACGAUUUUAUGAUUAUAUAAAAAGAACUGGAUCAAGGGGUUUUUUGAUUGUGGUGGCAAUAGAUUUUGGUGCAUCCUUCUCUGGAUGGGCGUUUUCUUCAGUUGAUGACUUUCGACGAUGGUUGACAUCUAAUAAUUGUUUGUCGCUGAAAGUUGAGUAUAAUUGAAAUAAGAUAUUUUUUGUUAUAUAUACAUAUAUGUAUAUGCAUCGUGUAGUCAUAUACGUACGUGCAAUAAGUACCAUAAAUGUAGUCUAGGAGGACCGUCGUCAUUAACUAAAUAUUUACGAUGAUUUAUUUUAGACAAUGGGUUAAUCUUUAAUAUUAUUCUUUUGAUUGCACUGCAAUAGUUAACCAUCAAGAACACAUAAUACAAUAGUUAAAAAAAUGCAUAUAAUUGAUUCAAGUACUUAAAUGACGGUAAUAUUGUGCCUAUUAAACUCAGUUUUAUUCUUGUAUAUCCUAUAUAAUAUAAUUAUAUGUAAAAUUAUCGUCAAAGCGUGAGACAAGAUCGGACAAAUGUUCUUUACUAUUAUUUUUACAUUAGCACCGACAUGUAUACUUAUCCAACCAAAUGGGAACACACUAGAGGCUUUUGGAACCGAUGCCGAAAUCAGAUACACAGAGCUUUCUCAAAAAGAGGAACACACUGACUGGUAUUUCUUCCGAAGAUUUAAGAUGCAGCUAUAUGAUACAAAGAGGUCUAUUGGGCAGUCCACGAUGUUGACAGACGAGACUGGAAAAGAACUUCAUGCGUUGACAGUAUACUCUUUAUCGAUUAAAUAUAUGAAAGACAAUUUUUACGAUUCCCUGAACAGCAUAACAUCUGAAAACUUGCGCACAUCAGAUAUUUGUUGGGUUUUAACCGUGCCAGAUAUAUGGAACGAGCCUGCAAAACAGUUCAUGAUUAUGUCGGCUCGAGAGGCAGGAAUUGAAAUAGAACAUCUCAGCAUUGCAUCGGAACCUGAGGCUGCGACUACAUACUGUCUUUUUACUGAGUCUAACCAUCACGACCCUAGAACGUCACACAUUUCAACCUUUCGCACAGGCGAAAGAUAUCUUGUUUGUGAUAUCGGAGGUGACACAGUUUACAUCACAGUGCACAAGGUGACGCUUGAUAUGAAAUUGAAACAAAUAGAGGCUGUCAAUGGUGGAGAAUGGCUUGUAACAAAAGCGCACGAGGAGUUUGAGAAAUAUAUUGACACUUUGGCAGGGUGUCAUGUAAUGCAAGCUUCUAAGAAUAAGCACAUGGACGAGUACAUAGAACUGAUGAAUACAUUCGAUUUGAAGCGGAAAACAUUCACAAAAUCAACCGAUGCAGAAAAAAUUAGAUUUAUUGUUCCUUGUGCGAUUCGAACACUUGUUGAACAAAUGACGGGACAAAAGUUACAGCAACAGGUUCAGCGCUCAAUUUACGGCAAAACCACUUAUGUAACAGGCGACAAACUCGUAUGCUCAGAAAGUGAUCUAUCAGCUCUAUUUGAUGAACCAAUCACAUCAAUCAUCAGACAAUUGAACCCCAUUGUGUCAAAGUACGUUGACGAUCCCAUCAAUCAUAUUAUAAUGACUGGCGGAUUUUCGGAAUCGCUGCUUUUGCAAGAUGCGUUGCGAGAAGCCUUUCCAACAAUCAAGGUCACCGUCCCCAUCGAUGCAAACGAAGCUGUCCUUGGCGGUGCAGUUAUUCUUGGACACAAUGACUUUCAAAUUAUAUCAAGAGUCGCUUAAUUUUAAUAUUGUGUCAGUGUUUGAAAAAUAUAUAAAUUCGCAAGAAACAAAUAUUGAAGAAGGCCAGUGAAGAAGUGAAAAGUCAGGUGAUCCCCUGACACAUGAUUUACAUAAAUGUCAGCCGACUAAACGCUCGGAUUUUUGCAACAAAAAGAAUAACCCGAUUAUCGAAAAAGACUAUCAUGUUUUUAAAUCGGUUUCUUAUAUGUGAAUGUUGAGGAGAGGCCAGGUAACGUUGCGAGUAAUUAACUAAGAAUGUACUUUGUUUGCACCAACAUACCACUGAAGGUUAUGCUUAGAGCUAUUUUAUAGUGUUAAAGUAUCAGUUCAUUCUCUGAUGUUAUUUCUUUAAAAUUUAAGAACAAGAGACGUACAUUAUAUAAGAUGCAGAUCACAUUAUUGAUUGUCAGCUACAAACAUAAAUAUUCACAAUUUUUAAUUACAACAAAAAAAACUUUAAAAUAUUUCAAAUGAAUAUAUCUUCUCAAAUACAUAAUUGCAUACGUAAUACAACAUUUGAAAAUUAAUCUUUUAACUCAGACUACGGCCAAGUUACUUUUAAAUUUCACCGAUUGCAACACGCGAAUGUAAAAUCGAACGAUGCAAUUAUAAGCAAUGUCGCUACCCUAUAAGGCAAUGCUUACGGGCAUAUUUGAGGUAUUCGCCCGAACCAUAUCUUAUUAUAUAUGCAUUUUUACAUGACGACUACACUUCUUCACAAAUAUAUUAUUGAAAAAAGAAUACACACAUGUGAAGAUCACUCUAACAACUCAGACCACGGCUAAGUUACUUUUACAUUUUACCGAUUGCGAGACGCGAGACGCAAUUAAACGCAAUGUCGCUUUUUACAUUACCAGGAAAUGCUUACGAGGAUAUUCGAGGUAUUCGCCCGGCCCAUAAUUUCUGCAGUUCUAUUCGGCACUCUCAGUAAGAUAACGUAUCGAUUAAGUUUGUCAGCAGCUUGAUCAGCGUUACUAUACUGGUAUAUAAUGUAUAUUUUGGACUUGUUUUCGUUGAAAAAACAUUUUAUGCAUGCAAAAUGAAAAUAUGACAUAUGAAAACGACGUAAAGCAUUAAAACAAAACUAAUAUGAAUGUAGACACGGCGUAAAUAUGUUGUUAAAUUUGGAGAGAAAUAUCCUAGUGAUACGUCUUGUAUUGGCACAAAACAUACUGUUGAUAUUUUUAAUUUCGACCUUGCGUCGAGGUCUCCUUUCAAAAUUGCAUGCUUCUCGCCAAUAAUCAUGCGUUUGAAUCUCACACAUCUAGCACCUUUACACAAAAUUUGGGAAAUGGUCGGGAAAUGGUCGGGGUAUAGUACUUGUACAUAUACGACAGAUAAAUCGAUGGUUCGAAUAAGUACUGAAAUAAAGCCCCCUUUCUCAGUGUACCCUGUAGUGUUUAUAACAAUAAAUAGUAAUGUCUAAUAAAUACGCUUAUUAAAGAAGAAA
RNA transcript from Dreissena polymorpha, 5745 nucleotides. It is a transcript of the gene named heat shock 70 kDa protein 12A-like, with no coding region annotated. Lineage: Eukaryota; Metazoa; Mollusca; Bivalvia; Myida; Dreissenidae. The record is from RefSeq and is a predicted model, not a curated record. The transcript has 10 exons.